Molecule: long non-coding RNA, 3799 nt
Organism: Oncorhynchus tshawytscha (Chinook salmon)
Lineage: Eukaryota; Metazoa; Chordata; Actinopteri; Salmoniformes; Salmonidae
Source: Ensembl
GCCCAUUUAUGUAACGGAGAGGUAGAGGGAGAGGACGUGAGGGGUAAGAUUAUAUUUAUCUAUUUAAAAUGAUCUGCCAAAAUUGUUGCAAUCCCUAUUACUAGCCUGUUCAACCUCUCUUUCUUGUCGUCUGAGAUUACCAAAGAUUGGAAAGCAGCUGUGGUCACCCCCCACUUCAAAGAGGGAGACACUCUUGACCCAAACUGCUACAGACCUAUGUCUAUCCUACCCUGCCUUUCUAAGGUCUUCGAAAGCCAAGUUAACAAACAGAUUACCAACCAUUUCGAAUCCCACAGUACCUUCUCCGCUAUGCAAUCUGAUUUCAGAGCUGGUCAUGGGUUCACCUCAGCCACGCUCAAGGUCCUAAACGAUAUCAUAACCGCCAUCAAUAAGAAACAAUACUGUGCAGCCGUAUUCAUUGACCUGGCUAAGGCUUUCGACUCUGUCAAUCACCACAUCCUUAUCGGCAGACUCAGCAGCCUUGGUUUCUCAAAUGAUUGCCUCGCCUUGUUCACCAACUACUUCUCCGAUAGAAUUCAGUGUGUCAAAUCGGAGGGCUGAUUGUCCGGGCCUCUGGCAUUCUCUAUGGGGGUGCCACAGGGUUCAAUUUUUGGUCCGACUCUCUUCUCUGUACAAAUCAAUGAUGUCGUUCUUGCUGCUGGUGAGUCUCUGAUACACCUCUACGCAGACAACACCAUUCUGUAUACUUCUUGCCCUUCUCUGGACACUGCCAUCCAUUUUGUCACCAAAGCCCCAUAUACUACCCACCACUGCGACCUGUACGCUCUCGUUGGCUGGCCCUCGCUUCAUACUCGUCGCCAAACCCACUGGCUCCAGGUCAUCUACAAGAUCAAGGUAGGUAAAGCCCCACCUUAUCUCAGCUUGCUGGUCACCAUAGCAGCACCUACCCGUAGCACGCACUCCAGAAGGUAUAUCUCACUGGUCACCCCCAAAAGCCAAUUCCUCCUUUGUACCCCUCUCCUUCCAGUUCUCUGCUGCCAAUGACUGGAACAAACUACAAAAAUUACUGAAACUGGAGACUCAUCUCCCUCACUAACUUCAAGCACCAGCUGUCAGAGCAGCUCACAGAUCACUGCACCUGUACAUAGCCCAUCUGUAAAUAGCCCAAACAAAUACCUCAUCCUCUACUGUAUUUAUUUAUUUAUUUAUUUUGCUCCUUUGCACCCCAGUAUUUCUACUUUGCACAUUCAUCUACUGCACAUCUACCUUUCCAGUGUUUAAUUGCUAUAUUGUAUUUACUUCGCCACCAUGGCCUAUUUAUUGCCUUAACUCCCCUAUCUCACCUCAUUUGCACACAUUGUAUAUAGACUUAUUUUUCUACUGUAUUAUUGACUGUAUGUUUGUUUACUCCAUGUGUAACUCUGUGUUGUUGUAUGUGUCGAACUGCUUUGCUUUAUCUUGGCCAGGUCACAGUUGUAAAUGAGAACUUGUUCUCAACUUGCCUACCUGGUUAAAUAAAGGUGAAAUAAAUAAAUAAAUACAAAUAUUUGCACAAUGAAGAUAAUCAGCUAUAAAUCAGGUAUCUUAUUUUAUUUUUCCCACAGAAGGCCUUUUGCAUUUUGGUAGGUUAUCACUGUAAAUAAGAAUUUGUUCUUAACUGACUUGCCUAGUUAAAUAAAAUAAAACAUUUUUAAAGUGUUAGUAACAGAAGAAGAGACCUUACAGGAGACGGUCAGUGGUUGACCAGGCUGGUCAGUCAUGGAGGCUGGCUGAGUGAGUUAAAAAUAACUCUGUACACCUGUUGAAUGAAAAGAACGAACAACAUUAAAUACACAAAAUAGCAACAUGUUACACUAUAUGCAUUCUAGUAGUUAUGUUGAAGCGGGUUUUAUACUUCAGGCAAUUUUCUUUGCUUUGUCUUUCCUCCAAACCCAGAGAGACUGACAGGAGGCAGCUGCCAGCAGCAGAGAUGCAGGGGACAUGGUUUGUGUUGAAGCUGAACUGGUGGGAGCUGCUCUUCUCUCCAGGACUCAGAGGUGCCUGGUGGAUCCAGUGGAUAUGAUUGCUGCUUAGAGUGAAUUCACCUACAGGCACAUCUGAGUUUGAGGGAUCCUGCAGGGGUCCCCUGGACUGACUGUUCAGCCUGUGUGAGUACAACCUGACUGUGGACACCUGAGGAGGGAGAGGAAUGACAGGUCAGAUCAAUCAAGGAGUCACAUCAGUAUCACAGCAACACAGGUUAUACUGAUCAGACUAUAGUCAGGAACUCACAGGAGGCAGCUGCCAGCAGCAGACAUGCAGGGAACAUGGUUUGUGUUGAAGCUGAACUGGUGGGAGCAGCUCUUCUCUACUCUCCAGAACUCAGAGAGACAUACUACACGCUUAGAAAAAAAGGGGCUAUCUAGAACCUAAAAGGGUUCGUUGGUUGUCUCCAUGGGAGAAUCCUUGGAAGAACCCUUUUUGGUUCCAUGCAGGUCUAUUUUCGCAGAGGGUUCUAAAAUGGAACCCAAAAGGGUUCUAAUAUAGGGACAGCUGAAGAAUUAUUUUGGAACCUUUUUUUUCUAAGAAUGUAGGACAGACAGACAGAGCAUUAUAUAACAGAGAGUGAGAGGAAGUGAGGGGUGAGAUUAUAUUUGCAUAAUGAAGAUAAUCAGUAUUAAAGCACUGGGAAUAUCAGUGCAAAUGGUGGUAAAAUAUUUAUAAUGUGUCAGUUUCUAACACUACACUCUAGAAUGUUUUAACAUUGUUCUCAUAUUAUUGGUAAUGCCUAUGCCAUAUGUAUAAAGUUAUUAUUGUAAAAACAAAGGUAUUGCGGUGUUUGUAAACAUAUUGCUAUUAGCGUUCAUCAGAAAUAAAUACGAUUAUCUGUGCUGAAUGCGGAAGUGUUUUUGUAUGGCUUCUCCCAUUAGUUUAACCACUGUGACUCUCUAGCACAGUAAUACACUGCUGUGUCCUCACUCUUCAGACUGUUCAUCUGUAGGUACAGCUUACUGCUGGAGUCAUUUCUGGAGAUGGUGAAUCUACCCUGGACUGACUGGGAAUAAGAGAUUGGAUUACUCUGUGUGCUAACAUAAGCAAUCCACUCCAGUCCUUUCCCAGGAGCCUGUCUGAUCCAACCCAUCCUGUAGCUACUGAAUGUGAAGCCAGAGGCUGUACAGGUCAGUUGGUGGGAUUCUCCAGGCUUUUUAACUACUGGUCCAGACUCAGUCAGUGUCUGACCAUGAACACCUGUGGAAAUAGAAAGCAGAGAUGUUGUUGAAGUUGAAACUAAAAUCUGAUGUCAACUUGUUUAUUUGAUAGACAGUAUAAACACCUAUUAGAUAGACUGUCAGUAAGAAUAUUCCUGUUGUAGGAAACAUGGUGAUCUGUGUAGUUCUCUAAUGGUAGUUGAGAGUCUACAGCAGAAUCCUCCUUCAACAGAGACAUUAAUAAAGAUGGAGGACUAGAAUGUUUUGCAUGAGCUCCUUCUUACUGGGAGGACCAAUCACAAGAGGCUUUGAUAGAUACCCACAGAUCACCUAGUAUGAGGUCAUCUUGAGAUGCUCUGUUAUGAAGAAGAAAUCCUUCUGUUUCUGUUUCUAUGUAUUUAUUUUACCAGGUAAAUAGAUGGAGAACACAUUUCCAUGACAACACAAACCCGAGUAGGAGUUGUAAGGACCGUUUCAGAAUGAAUGUACAAAUUAUUAUUCAUGACAGUAAAAUAAUAUUGGAACAUGCUGCCAUCAUGUUGUCAUAGCAUGAUAAAGGGGCAAACUUCUGAAACAUCCACGGAAUCAAUCCCACAAUAUGUAUUUGUUGAAUAACAUUUUAAUCAAUGGUACAAAGUACUUAAGUAAAA